This 87-nucleotide small nucleolar RNA is filed under the name Spinacia oleracea (spinach). Its description in RNAcentral is "small nucleolar RNA snoR114". It matches the Rfam family "small nucleolar RNA snoR114". The record is from Rfam by way of RNAcentral. Lineage: Eukaryota; Viridiplantae; Streptophyta; Magnoliopsida; Caryophyllales; Amaranthaceae.
AAGCUAUGAUGAUAUCUGCGCUUCUUGUGGCAGUUGGGUCCGCCACUACUGUCUGAUCUUCAGACGAAACAAAGCGCAUCUGAGCAU